This 329-nucleotide ribosomal RNA is filed under the name uncultured eukaryote. RNAcentral describes it as "partial 18S ribosomal RNA". It matches the Rfam family "Eukaryotic small subunit ribosomal RNA", at positions 1470 to 1796 of the family's 1831-position model. The record is from RNAcentral.
CCCUUAGAUGUUCUGGGCCGCACGCGCGCUACACUGAGUGUCUGAGAUACGAGUCUGCCUGGUCCGGCAAGGUCUAGGUAAUCGCUAAAAGACACAUCAUGCUUGGGAUAGAUUAUUGCAAAUAUUAACCUUGAACGAGGAAUUCCUAGUAAGCGCAAGUCAACAGCUUGCGUUGAUUACGUCCCUGCCCUUUGUACACACCGCCCGUCGCUACUACUGAUUGGAUGUUUAAGCGAGGUUCUCGAACUGCUAGCGACUUAGCUUCGGUGAGGUCGCAGUGUGGGAAGUGAACCUAGCUUUGGUGUCUAGAGGAAGUAAAAGUCGUAACA